GUGGAUAUAGCUCAGUUGAUAGAGUGCUUGCCUUGUAUGCACAAGGCCCUGGGUUCAAUACCCAGCGUGUGUA
This 73-nucleotide transfer RNA is filed under the name Ictidomys tridecemlineatus (thirteen-lined ground squirrel). RNAcentral's name for it is "Spermophilus tridecemlineatus (thirteen-lined ground squirrel) tRNA". It matches the Rfam family "tRNA". Rfam says of the family: Transfer RNA (tRNA) molecules are approximately 80 nucleotides in length. Their secondary structure includes four short double-helical elements and three loops (D, anti-codon, and T loops). Further hydrogen bonds mediate the characteristic L-shaped molecular structure. tRNAs have two regions of fundamental functional importance: the anti-codon, which is responsible for specific mRNA codon recognition, and the 3' end, to which the tRNAs corresponding amino acid is attached (by aminoacyl-tRNA synthetases). tRNAs cope with the degeneracy of the genetic code in two manners: having more than one tRNA (with a specific anti-codon) for a particular amino acid; and 'wobble' base-pairing, i.e. permitting non-standard base-pairing at the 3rd anti-codon position. The record is from Rfam by way of RNAcentral. Lineage: Eukaryota; Metazoa; Chordata; Mammalia; Rodentia; Sciuridae.